Sorex fumeus (smoky shrew) is the source of this 525-nucleotide long non-coding RNA. RefSeq lists it as uncharacterized. The record is from RefSeq and is a predicted model, not a curated record. The transcript has 3 exons. Lineage: Eukaryota; Metazoa; Chordata; Mammalia; Eulipotyphla; Soricidae.
CGAAUCCCAGAAAUGAAAGAUGGUGAAGAUGGUAUUCAACCAUGAAUUUCUGGAAUGCUUCCUGCAAGCCUGCCUUUCAUCAGAGCAGAUAGUUGAUGGAGUGGCUUUGUAUUUCCAAAAGGAGACCAAUGUCGGAAGGCGGAAGUAGAGAUUUUCUGCAGGAGCUUUUUAAACCUUUUGGAUCUCAGCUACGUAAACACAGCACUAAAUUUAACAUAUUGGUGGAUUCACAAAAGGUGUUCAACAAAUAAAAAAUGAAUAAGUACAUGCAUGUAUACAUGAAUGAACACACAUUACGGAAUUAUCCUACUCAAAGUGGCAGGACUGGGACAUUCAUCUUGGGAGAGAUUUGGCUCAGCAACCCAGGAGGGAUCACAUUGGAUCACCCUUAUUUGAACACAAUCUGAGAUCUAUUGUUGGCUUUCUUCACAGGAAAGCAGGUAGAAUCCAGUGUGAGCAGGAAAGGCAGGCAUGAAAACAGGUCACUGCCAUUUAAUGUAGCAUAGGACUAGGAACCAAAUAAUC